GGAAUGUCUCAGUCCUGCUCUGAGAGCAGGCUCCUGGCUCCCAGCCAGGGGGGAGUUUCUGCAGGCACAUGGCCACACCAUGUGCCAUUGCCAGGGAAGCUCCUGCUCCUGGGCAGGAUUAUUUUUGUCACCUGCACAGCUUUUGCUCCAGAGCUGUGCUCCAGGAGCCUCAAUAUUUAUGUGUCACCGAUUUGUCAUCUGCCUGGGAACAUCUGCUACAGGAAAGAGGAGGCUCCAGCGCAGUCAGCAAUCCUGGAAUGAGGACAUUUGCCUGCUCCCACACAGGCAGGAAAGAAGCUGAGGAGGGAUUUCAGUCCCUUCCCUCUCCUCCACGCCACAGCUUCUCUCCCCCAGGCUCCCUCGGGCUGGCUGUCUCGCAUUUUUACAAAAACAGUAACAAUAUCAUACUUAGGGCCAUAUGGAGAGCAAAUUAAAAAAAUUCUAUAAAAAUCUCAGCUGUUUUGUGGGAUAGAAAAGAGAAUUUCCAUCCUCCAGCCUUCCAGACUGUCCUACAGCCCAACUCUCUGUGCCAAACAUCCCUUUUUUUUCUUCCCUUCUGGCUCCAAGGAGUCCUCCCUAGAUUUAUAUCCCACAUUUCCUUGGCAUUCCCCUCCUGUGGGAUACCUGGGAGCAGUUUGGUGCCAGAACUACCCACAUGUGCCUGGAGGUCACAGCUGGCAGACACCAGCCAGGAGAACCAGGAAUGAGCUCAGCAGCAGGGAGAGGAGAGAUCCUGGUACCUGGAGAUCUGCCAUGAGCAGCUCAUUCCAGCCUGGAAUUGUGCAUUUCCUGAGGAAUACACAAAUUUCACAAAGAUACGCCUGGUGCUGAGGGAGCACCAGGUCUCCCUGAGGGAUGUGAAUGGCCUUUAACCAGAUCCCAGCAGGCAGAAGCCAAAACAGAGAAUCAUUUUGGAAAAAGACAAAGUUUUGGGGGUACCUUUUCUCUCCCAAAUCCACCCCAGGAAUUCCUGCAGCAGGCAGGAAUCUGCUCCCUGCUGCACUCUCUGAGAGGAAAAAGUGCAGCUGCUCGAGGCAGAGCCCAAACACAUCCCAGCCUGGGCCAGACGUGAGGAGAGGAACCAUCUCCUGCUGCAGCAGCAGUAAAAAUCCUUCACAACUGCUAAAGCCACAGGGAAACAAAUAUUUUUCUUCUUUUACAGCCUCUCAUCCUCUCCCCUCCUUCCUUGGCUGGUACAAGGCUGAGGGAAGCCAAUUGCAAUUAAACGUUUUGCUCCUCCACGAAGGGCUGCGUUUGUAAACAACAACAGUCAGACAAAAAAACCUGCAGCUCUCAGCAAAAGCAGCCAAGCUUCCCUCACAAAACAUCGCAGGUUUCCAGCAGGAAAUCAUCCCCAGCUCUCCCUCGGCACUGCCUCACCCCUCCAACCCCUCUUUGGCCCAGAUUUAGAGCCUGUCACUGCUCAUCUGAAGCAGAGGAUGCAGGCACGGAGACACCCUGGCCUGGAAGGCGUUCUCCUGGAAAAGCACUGCAAACCUG
Long non-coding RNA from Parus major (Great Tit), 1500 nucleotides. NCBI's taxonomy places the organism in Eukaryota, Metazoa, Chordata, Aves, Passeriformes, Paridae. The record is from Ensembl.